GUGGGCGUAGCAUAGCUCGGUUAGUGCGUUAGUUCCUGCCAAGCUAGAGACGUGGGUUCAAAUCCCACUACCCACACCA
Molecule: transfer RNA, 79 nt
Filed under: Candidatus Bathyarchaeota archaeon
Lineage: Archaea; Thermoproteati; Candidatus Bathyarchaeota
Description: tRNA-Gly
Rfam family: tRNA
About the family: Transfer RNA (tRNA) molecules are approximately 80 nucleotides in length. Their secondary structure includes four short double-helical elements and three loops (D, anti-codon, and T loops).
Source: RNAcentral